CGAUAGAGGCGCGGCGCGCAUCAGUAGCUCCUUCCAAAUCAGCGGCAGGAACCGCCGGAGUGAAAGGGAACGCCGCCGAAGGGUCUCCGGCUUCCUGGCCGGGCGACGCCUGGGCCGUCGGAGAACAUCCGCCGGACUGCUGCGGGGGAAACGCCGCAGAGCGCUGUC
RNAcentral lists this non-coding RNA (168 nucleotides) under bovine gut metagenome. RNAcentral's name for it is "Lysine riboswitch". It matches the Rfam family "Lysine riboswitch aptamer". From Rfam's summary of the family: Riboswitches are metabolite binding domains within certain messenger RNAs that serve as precision sensors for their corresponding targets. The record is from RNAcentral.